RNAcentral lists this long non-coding RNA (268 nucleotides) under Physcomitrium patens. Its description in RNAcentral is "long non-coding RNA (PPAT_LNC010084)". Lineage: Eukaryota; Viridiplantae; Streptophyta; Bryopsida; Funariales; Funariaceae. The record is from RNAcentral.
AUUCUUUAAUAAUCUUUUGUUGAACUUCUAAACUACAUAUUACCCUUUGUGGUACUUCUCCUCUCUUUUUUGGAUGCUUCCAUAAAUAUCCAUCAUGUAAAAAAUAUCCAUAGGCUUUCUUAUGAAUUUUCUUAAAUUCUUGAUCUCUUCAAUCUUUUUGUUGUUUUAAUGUGCUCAAAUACUCUCCAACAUCUUUCCAUUCAUUUUCAUAUAAAUCUCUUAAAAAUGCUUCUAAUGGUAUAUUAAAACAUACACCCUUUUCCUUUGA